ACAAACUGCACAAGCAGGAGUCCUGAGGCCUGCAAAAUGCCUGCAGAAUAACUCAGUAUCCAACUUACUCCAGUUUAUGCUGUAGGUAAACUGAGUCAGUGCUGCAGCCACUUUUGCAGAAAAGGAACGGUGGUAGUCAUAGAAGGCUGUACCACCGUAUUUGUGCCCCAGAUCCACCAGCUUGUAGCUACAAACUAUAAAGGAG
This is a non-coding RNA of Pelobates cultripes (western spadefoot toad), 205 nucleotides long. NCBI's taxonomy places the organism in Eukaryota, Metazoa, Chordata, Amphibia, Anura, Pelobatidae. The record is from the annotation of a GenBank genome assembly.